GAUGAAGAACGCAGCGAAAUGCGAUAAGUAAUGUGAAUUGCAGAAUUCAGUGAAUCAUCGAAUCUUUGAACGCACAUUGCGCCCGCCAGUAUUCUGGCGGGCAUGCCUGUUCGAGCGUCAUUUCAACCAUCAAGCCCCAGGCUUGUGUUGGGGACCUGCGGCUGCCGCAGGCCCUGAAAACCAGUGGCGGGCUCGCUGUCACACCGGGCGUAGUAGAUUUUAUCUCGCUCAGGGCGUGCUGCGGGUCCCGGCCGUUAAAAGCCUUUUUUUACCCAAGGUUGACCUCAGAUCAGGUAGGAAGACCCGCUGAACUUAAGCAUAUCAAUAAGCGGAGGA
This 336-nucleotide unclassified non-coding RNA is filed under the name soil metagenome. RNAcentral describes it as "partial contains 5.8S ribosomal RNA, internal transcribed spacer 2, and large subunit ribosomal RNA". The stretch from base 1 to 120 matches the Rfam family "5.8S ribosomal RNA", at positions 35 to 154 of the family's 154-position model. The record is from RNAcentral.